RNAcentral lists this long non-coding RNA (479 nucleotides) under Monodelphis domestica (gray short-tailed opossum). RNAcentral's name for it is "lncRNA (ENSMODG00000038599.1)". Lineage: Eukaryota; Metazoa; Chordata; Mammalia; Didelphimorphia; Didelphidae. The record is from RNAcentral.
CUCAUAUUAUCCUUAUAACAAUGCUUCAGUUAGUACAAGUAUUAUUAUUUCUCUUUUACAGAUGAGGAAGCCGAGACUCAGAGGACUCGAGUGAUUUUUUUCCCCCAAGGUCACAUAAUCUCUGGAUCUCUGGCGUCUGGUUACUGGAACAUACAGGAACAUAGUUUCAGAGUUCAUGAACCAGUGCCUAGGAGAAUCAUGGAACUCAACCUUCCAACAAUGACAUCACUCCAAGGAAGAUAUUGUGAUAGAGGCUGGCACUAAAGAAAAAGUGCCAGACUGAAGAGUAUAUGGAAUUGAUCACCUUGAUGGGGGAGGGGCUCCAGGAGUGAAUUUCUGGAGGAGAGAAGACUCUGGCUGGGAGAGCAGUGUGGGUCUCUCUGUCUUGAGAAGUCAGAGAGAAGGUGGAUAAAGACUUUCUCCUGAGGGUUACCCAUUUUCCUACUGAUGACUAGAAAUCUUCCCCCUCCCCAAACUUC